GACGAACGCUGGCGGCGUGCUUAACACAUGCAAGUCGAGCGGUAAGGCCCUUUGGGGGUACACGAGCGGCGAACGGGUGAGUAACACGUGAGUAAUCUGCCUUUGGCUUGGGAAUAACUUCGGGAAAUCGGGGCUAAGUGCCUGAUGUUUACUGUCUGCUGCAUGGUGGGUGGUGGAAAGCCUUGUGCGGCUGGGAGAUGGGGCCC
Molecule: ribosomal RNA, 206 nt
Filed under: uncultured bacterium
Lineage: Bacteria
Description: partial 16S ribosomal RNA
Rfam family: Bacterial small subunit ribosomal RNA
Source: RNAcentral